This 514-nucleotide ribosomal RNA is filed under the name Diutina catenulata. RNAcentral describes it as "eukaryotic LSU rRNA". It matches the Rfam family "Eukaryotic large subunit ribosomal RNA", at positions 34 to 664 of the family's 3401-position model. Lineage: Eukaryota; Fungi; Ascomycota; Pichiomycetes; Serinales; Debaryomycetaceae. The record is from RNAcentral.
UUUGGCAUAUCAAUAAGCGGAGGAAAAGAAACCAACCGGGAUUGCCUCAGUAACGGCGAGUGAAGCGGCAAAAGCUCAAAUUUGAAAUCCUUCGGGAGUUGUAAUUUGUAGAGGGGUGUCUUUGGGGCGGCAUUGUCUAUGUUCCUUGGAACAGGACGUCACAGAGGGUGAGAAUCCCGUGCGAUGAUGCCUCAACCAGUACAAGACCCUCUCGACGAGUCGAGUUGUUUGGGAAUGCAGCUCUAAGUGGGUGGUAAAUUCCAUCUAAAGCUAAAUACUGGCGAGAGACCGAUAGCGAACAAGUACAGUGAUGGAAAGAUGAAAAGCACUUUGAAAAGAGAGUGAAACAGUACGUGAAAUUGUUGAAAGGGAAGGGUAGGAGGUGAGGGGAAGAGCUGCUUAGGCGCGGGAGAUAAACAAGCAGGAAGCGCUUCGGUGCGGCCUGGUAAAUAUCCCGUGCUUGUGUGGUUCUUCCGUAAUCCCCUUCUACCGCCCGUCUUGAAACACGGGACCA